ACGGCGGGCGGGGAAGGGCGGAUUGGAAUGCCGCGCCACUAAGCUAGGCUGCCAGCCGGAGCCUCUCCUGCUGCUGGGGCUAGAGAUGGGGAUGGUCCACGCACUGGCGCCGUCACGUGUUUUUCUCCUUGGAGUGAGACGGAGUGUCGGCGGCGGCGGCUGGAGGGGGCUGGACUCAUAAACACAGCCGCUUGUUUUGGUUUGGGGCUUUCAGAAAGUCUGCGAAGCUGCAGCUACUGCAGCGGCGGCGGCGGCCGAGAAGGACGAGCCACAAGUCAGGCGGCCGCGUCGCUGUGCUCUUCCCUCUGCGCGCCUCGCCGCCUUGGUUCUGGGGUGCACGAGGAGGAGGUGGCGGUGCUGGAAGAGGCGGAAAGGGCUGCUCUGCUGCUUCUGCCCACCGAGACUUUCCCAACUGGAAUGAAGAAGAGGAGGAGGAAGCAGCCGCCACCGCCGCCGCGAGGAUGUCCCUUCUUCUGCUCUUCCUCCUCCACUUGGGCAGCAGCUUCUGCUCUUCACCGCUCUCGCCCCUGCAGCUGCCUGCUUACAUUUUGUGUGGAGAUGGCACUUUCUUCUCCUAACCAGACGGGACUGAAUGGGGUCGCCACCAGCCUUCUCCUCCUGCCCAAGCUGAAGAAGCUGCAGUCUCGGCGCUGAUUUGGGAUAUUUCUUCUGCUUACUGUUGUUGGCUUUCCGGCGUGAAGGAUAUUCUAUUGACAUUUGUUGGCGGGGCGAAAACAAGCUGGCUUGUGUGGUGGUGAUUAGUCGUCGUCGUCUUAUCAUCAUCAUCAAAAGGGGUGCCUCUGAGUUCAACUGAGACUUUUUUUGUUGUUUUUGUUUUGGCAAAGCAAACCCUCUCUUCCCCCACCCCGACGAGCCUUCCUCUAGAGAGGAUAUGUAAUCGGCAUCUGAAAUCGCUCCUUGCUGAGGGUAACUUGAGAAGGGGAGGGGGCUGUUUGUUUGGGAGAGGAGCGACGGGGGAACCCCAUCCUGCUCCUGUCGCUGCAGGAAUCCAACCCCUGUAUGGAUGAAAUGAUGCACUUCUCCCCUUUCCCGGCGGCUGCUCCUGGGACGAGGCUUUCCCGUGGCUUAAUCUGGACUGGACUUUUGAAAGACACGUUUCUCCUGCGAAGGGUGAUUUGGAAGUAAAAACAGCAACCCAAACUCUGCUUCUGGAGCCGAAAGGCGGCUCUGGUCGCUGAACAGCUGUUCUCUGCCUGCCACUCGCUGCCUUUCCCUCCUCCCAUCCCAUUUUGGAACGGGGAUUUGGAGCUAUUUUGCUGGUUUUGGUUGCUGCUGCAUUGAAUUGUAUUUUGGGCUGCUGCAUUCUUUCUUUCUCCCCCCUCCCUCCCCCGCCUCGCUCUGCUGUUUUGGAAGCUGCCAGUUGCAAUCGGAGCUGCAUUGCCACCUUGCUCAGCAUGGCGAGCCCCACAGAUAAUAAUAAUGAGGGUUUCUUCUCAGAUGUCAGGAAGGUGGGUUACUUGCGCAAACCCAAGAGCAUGCAUAAGCGAUUCUUCGUGCUGAGGGCAGCCAGCGAGUCAGGACCCGCCCGGCUGGAGUACUAUGAGAAUGAAAAGAAAUGGAGACACAAGUCGGGGGCUCCCAAGCGCUCAAUCCCGCUGGAGAGCUGCUUCAACAUCAACAAGCGAGCGGACUCCAAAAACAAGCAUCUGGUGGCUCUCUACACCAAGGAUGAGCACUUUGCCAUUGCUGCUGACAGUGAGCCUGAGCAGGAGAGCUGGUACCAGGCGCUGCUACAACUGCACAACCGGGCCAAGAGCCAUCACCACCAGCACCAUCACCACCACCACCACCACCAUAGUGAUGUUACUGUUGGAGGUGGGAGUGUUGGGAUAGGAGAGGCAGGGGAGGAUAACUAUGGUGACAUGGCCCCUGGCCCGGCAUUCAAGGAAGUUUGGCAGGUGAUCCUGAAACCAAAGGGUCUGGGCCAGACUAAGAAUCUGAUUGGCAUCUACCGCCUGUGCCUCACAAACAAGACCAUCAGUUUUGUGAAGCUGAACUCGGAUGCGGCGGCUGUGGUGCUGCAGCUCCUCAACAUCCGGCGGUGCGGCCACUCGGAGAACUUUUUCUUCAUUGAGGUGGGGCGCUCUGCGGUCACUGGGCCAGGUGAGUUCUGGAUGCAGGUAGAUGACUCGGUGGUCGCGCAGAACAUGCACGAGACCAUCCUGGAGGCUAUGCGGGCCAUGAGUGAGGAGUUCCGGCCUCGUAGCAAAAGCCAGUCUUCCUCCAAUUGCUCCAAUCCCAUCUCUGUGCCUCUCCGCAGCAGGCAUCAUGUCAACAACCCCCCGCCCAGCCAGGUGGGGCUCAGCCGUAGGUCCAGGACUGAGAGUGUGACUGCUACCUCUCCUGCUGGCAGUGGGGUGGGAGUUGGAGGAGGGACAGGGGGCAAGCCCAGCUCUUUCCGCGUGAGAGCCUCUAGUGAUGGGGAAGGAACCAUGUCCAGGCCAGCUUCGGUCGAUGGAAGCCCAGUGAGUCCAAGUGCCAACCGGACUCACUCGCACAGGCACCGUGGAAGCACGAGGCUCCACCCUCCACUCAACCACAGCCGCUCCAUCCCCAUGCCUUCUUCACGCUGCUCCCCAUCUGCCACGAGCCCAGUCAGUCUGUCCUCCAGCAGUACCAGUGGCCACGGCUCCACCUCCGACUGCCUCUUCCCGCGCAGGUCCAGUGCUUCAGUCUCUGGCUCCCCCAGUGAUGGGGGCUUCAUCUCCUCUGAUGAAUAUGGAUCUAGCCCCUGUGACUUCCGCAGCUCUUUUCGCAGCGUUACCCCUGACUCCCUGGGACAUACCCCACCGGCUCGGGGAGAUGAGGAACUUAGCAACUACAUAUUCAUGGGGGGUAAGGCUACUUCCUCUUCCUGCAGUGUCACGGCCCCUAAUGGUCACUUCAUUCCCCGUACCUGCCAUCUUCAGCAGCAAACCCGUUACCCUGGUGCCCCAUGCUGCUCCCGGAUUGGUGGGGAGGAUGUGGGUGAUCCGGACAAAGGCUUCAGGAAACGAACUCAUUCAGCUGGUACCUCCCCUACGAUCUCCCACCAGAAGACACCCUCUCAGUCUUUGGUGGCCUCCAUUGAGGAAUAUACUGAGAUGCUCCCCUCGUAUUCCUGUAGUGGCAGCAGGCUCUCCUCCUACCGACAUUCUGCCUUUGUGCCAACCCAUUCUUACCCCGAGGAGUGUCUAGAGAUGCAUCACGUGGAGGGCAACCACCAUCGGACCAACUCCACCCCACACACCGAUGAUGGCUACAUGCCCAUGUUGCCAGGGGUGGCCCCUGUCCCUAGCGGUGGCAGUGCUCUCAAAGGUGGUGAUUAUAUGCCCAUGAGUCCCAAGAGUGUGUCUGCCCCACAGCAGAUCAUCAACCCUGGGAGAGGAGGUCGUCACGCGCAGGCCAUGGUGGACUCCAAUGGCUACAUGAUGAUGUCUCCUAGUGGCAGCUGCUCUCCAGACAGUGGCCCCUCUGGCUACAGCAAGCUAUGGAUGAAUGGAGCCAGCCACCAUCCCAAGCUCUCUGUGGAGAGUAAUGAGGGGAAGCUGCCGAGUGGUGGCAGUGAUUAUAUCAACAUGUCGCCAGCCAGCGGCUCUGCUACCAGCACCCCUCCAGACUGCUACUUCACCAGCUCAGGACCUCCAGGCCCAGAAGAGCCAUCUGCACAGGUGUCCUCCCAGUCCCACCACAAGCCCAUCUACUCCUAUUUCUCCCUGCCACGUUCCUUCAAACCCAUGCAACGCAGGGCAGGUGAUGAGGGGAACACCCAGAUGCGCAUGUCCCUCAGCUCUGGCCGCUUGUUGUAUGCUGCUGCGGAGGACUCUUCCUCCUCCACUAGUAGUGAUAGCCUUGGUGGCCCCGGGGGACAGGAGGGUGGUGGGUGUGCCCUUCCUACUCAGACCCAACCCUUGAAGCCUGCUCCUCCUUGUACUGUGGACCCGGCUGUGCGGACCAAGAGCCGUCUGGCCAGACCUACUUGCCUGUCCUUGGAUGGCCCGAGGGCCAGCACUUUGCCUCGUGCCCGGGAACAGCUCCCAGAGCCCAAAAGCCCUGGUGAGUAUGUGAACAUUGAAUUCAAGCAGCCAGCCUUCCCAUCACCUUUGCCCCAUGGAGAGGCUGGCUCCAGUUCAGAGGAGUAUAUGAACAUGGAUUGGGGGGCUGCCUGCUCAGCCAACUUGGCAUCUAUGCAGCCAAGCCAGGGCCGGGCAGCCCCUCCUGGUGGCCGAGACUACAUGAGCAUGCAGCUGGGCGGUGGGGGGCAAUAUUUAGUCUGUGCCCACACCCCCUCGCCUUCCCCUCCGGCCCUUCUGCUGACUUAUGCCGACAUGAGAAUGGGUCGUGGUCGGCCAGAGAAAAGUCCACCAGAUGUGGGGGCCCCUUCCCCACAUCCUCAGCCUCAGUCAGGCGAGCUGGCUGCGGUCUUGCCCCACUCCUGCUCCUCCUCCAUGAUGGGGGGCCUGGGAAUAAGCAGCGCCUUCACGCACAUCAGCCCCAGCUGCAUCAGCCAGAGUGCCAAAGUGAUCCGUGCCGACCCACAAGGAGGCCGGCGUCGUCACAGCUCUGAGACGUUUGCUUCUUCUACCACCACUAGCAGUGGCCUCGGUGCCUCAGCACUACCCCACGGACCGGGAGGAGGUCCUGAGGAUGCAAAGCGCCACAGCUCGGCUUCCUUUGAAAACGUCUGGCUGAAGCCUGCGACUGGGGAGCCUGGGGCCUUAUCUGGCCUUGGCAUGGCGACCCGGUGGGAGCUGACAACCAGUGGGACCGGAAGUGGCGUGGAGAACGGGCUCAAUUACAUUGACCUGGACUUAGUGAAGGAUUUUAAUCACCACCAACAUCACCAUCGCCACCCUCACCCUCAGGAGAGUCCCUCCCUGCUAGGGGGCAAGCAGCUGACGCAGCAGCAUCAGCCACCUAAAUCUCCUAAUCAGCCUUGUGGGAGUAGCCACUUGAGUGAUGAAUUAAGUGCAUAUGCCAGCAUCAGCUUUCACAAGCGGGAGGACAUCCAGUAGCUGGGCAGGAGCCAGAGACAAGAGAGAGAGUUCCCUCAGCUGAGCAACCAGUGACUGACACACCAUCAGAGGGGAUCCAGAAAAAAGAAAGAAAACUGACGAUGACCUAUACAACCUCAGAAAAAUUCUUCUUUGAACUCAUGGGUAACCAGACUCUGUUUUGUGUAUCACAACUAGGACCUCGCAUCUUCUUCCUCAGUAGAUGGGUACGAUGCAUCCAGUUUAAUUUGUUUACUUUACACAAACCUCAGGAGUUAGUUAACUGAACUGCACAUUCUUUCUUCUUCUUCUUCUUCCUACUACUUUUUAUUUUGUGCCAAGCAAAAGCACUGUGACACCUGGACAACAAGUCUAUGAUUACUUCCUCCAAUACCAUAAAGACUUAGCUGGCUAGAGUGAACUCGUGUGCCCAACACUGUAAAAUGGUGAGAAUGGGUAUACUUCUGCCUUCUGGCUCAUUUACAUAAGACAUGAAACUUUAAUUUGCUGCUGAAAAAACCUGUAUGACAAAUCAUCAGUGUAAAUUAUUACAUACAAACUGUUAAUGUUGGUUGAAGAGUAUUAAAUAUUUAACAUAGGUUUUUUGAUUUAUACAUGUACUUUUUUAAUUAAAAAUGUAACUUUUCCUACAGCACAUCUUUUUUGUUGAUGUGGAACUGAGGUAUACUAUGUUGUAAACAGAGUGGGGUUGGGGUGGGGAAACUGCUUAAAACAAGGCAAUUUAAGAAUAGAGUAGGGUACUAUUCUUUUUAAGAUUGUAAUUCAGAAUAUAAUAUAAUAUGAAUCAAUGGCCCAUGAAUCUGGAUUGUACAGUCAUCCUUAUUGAUAGAAUCUGUAAGAUAACCCUGAGGUUGAACUGAGUUCUUUCAAAAAGAAAAGAAUAAUAUUUUGUACACUACCUGUAAAACAUUAGGCUGUAUUAAUGAAAAGACAGACUAAACUGUGCAUGGUAUUUACAAGUGUGAAUUUGAAAUUGUUGGUUGCACAGGAAGUUAGAAAAUCAAAAGAAAUAAAUCAAAGUCUUCCAUUGUAUAUAUUGUAAGAAGAUGAAGAAGAAAACAAACAAAACAAGGGUGAACUCUUCAAAUCAAACUAUCCCUGGAAUGAAAUAUGUGGGUGUUUGUAAAUUCUGGAAAUCUCUUUCUAUACAUAAUAAACUAGAUACCGUUUUAUCUUUA
Molecule: RNA transcript, 6193 nt
Organism: Hemicordylus capensis (graceful crag lizard)
Lineage: Eukaryota; Metazoa; Chordata; Lepidosauria; Squamata; Cordylidae
Gene: IRS1
Gene name: insulin receptor substrate 1
Exons: 3
Source: RefSeq, a predicted model, not a curated record